CCUACGGGGUGCAGCAGUGGGGAAUAUUGCGCAAUGGGCGAAAGCCUGACGCAGCGACGCCGCGUGAGGGAUGAAGGUCUUCGGAGCGUAAACCUCUGUCAGCAGGGAAGAACGGUCACGGUGCUAAUCAGCAGUGAAUUGACGGUACCUGCAAAGGAAGCACCGGCUAACUCCGUGCCAGCAGCCGCGGUAAUACGGAGGGUGCGAGCGUUAAUCGGAAUUACUGGGCGGAAAGCGCGCGUAGGCGGUAUGUCAAGUCAAGGGUGAAAUCCCCGCGCUCAACGUGGGAACUGCCUUUGAAACUGGCAACCUGGCGUGUGUGCGAGGCUAGUGGUAUUCCAGGUGUAGCCG
RNAcentral lists this ribosomal RNA (351 nucleotides) under uncultured bacterium. RNAcentral describes it as "partial 16S ribosomal RNA". It matches the Rfam family "Bacterial small subunit ribosomal RNA", at positions 338 to 681 of the family's 1533-position model. The record is from RNAcentral.